UUUUAGUUAUUUACAGUUACUAGAUUCCUGAAUGGUCUUCCGGUGAGACCAUAUAAAUAUACGACUGUGUUGUGUUCUGGACAGCCUGUUCCGCUCAGACUUCGUCGACGGCAAUGGACGGACACCUGGGACGGACGGCGAGCUGUCAGAAAUGUCACACCUGUCAUUCAGCGUUCCUGGGCCGCUCCCCGCCACAUUGCUCUUCCGUUAAUGAGGGAGCGUCCGUUAGAGAAUACCGUUAGCAUGUUUAAACAGCGGAACGAACGGAGCCUAGUGCAGCCUGCGGGGCCACACAACAACGCCUGUUUCUGUUUGCAGCCUGCACCGCACCGGGAGAACGCUGAUGCCUGUCUGCUGCCUGCUUCGUGCAGCCUGCCUCCCUUCCAGCUGCUAGCCUGAGAAAUUAGGUACAUCUGACAAUCACUAAAAGCCUAAUCUCUGCCUGGGAGAAGAACGGAAAAAAAGGAGGAGAAGAGAGAAAGAUGAGAAGAGAAAAAGUGGAGAGAGGAGAGACGUCCUCUGAGGAUUGUUGAGUGCUUCUUACAACUGGACUGAACGUCAGGAAGCUGUCUGGAAUAGAAGCUGUUUCCAGGACAUUAAAGACAUGCUCCGGUACUUUGGCAAGUUAUAUCAGCUGUUUUGGUGAACCACUCCCGCAUCUGAACUGCCUGACACAGAGGGCACAGCAUGAUCAUAGGUAUGUUUUUAUGUGAGAGAGGAAGCCAGUCCCGUCAUUGCCACCUCACCCGCCUUCAACUCUUUCACAAGUACCAUCACACUGGUGUGAUCAUUCUACAGUGGUCCCUGAAGCGGUAUGAUUCCACCCUUGUGAUUAGAACGCUUAUUUAGAACUGCCAGUUUUGAAUGACGCAACAAUCAGCUUUGAGCGCGCCACACCUUUUUCCAGAAACUAUUUACACAAACACAGUUCUUUCAAAGUUAUGUCCAGAAUGUGAGCCGUUUAUUUUUGGAUGCAAUGUUCAGAUAUUCACAGAAGUAUCUAUAGCAUAACACAAUCAUCCAAACCCGGAAAAAUGUAGGCUACAUUUGUCCGAGCGCUAACUGAGGAAAGAUUGACGCAACACAAGCGGUCAUAUUUGUGUAACUCUCCUCUGACAAACUACAAUAUGAAAUAGCUAAUAGCAAUUACUAUUUAUAAUUAAUCACAUCACGGGUGAGCUCACCAUUGAUCGAAAUAAUUGAGUAAAACAAUUUCUAGAAAUCGCGUGCAGCAAUGUUUUUUUUCCUCACAGAAACCAAAGAUAAGAGAAGACAAGAGUUUGGUCUGUUUACCAUCGUCUGUUUACCAUCGUUCACAUCCCACCAUUCACUUCCUGAAGUUCUCAAAAAAUGAGUGAACCCUUACUCACCUCAAUUUGUUAUAGCAUCUUUGGUCCUACAGACGAUUACGUGAAACCCAGAAUGCAUUGUAUGUCAACAAACAUGUCUCCACAAACAUAGCUGGAAUUAGCUAAUAAUUACCACACAAAACAUUUUCUGAUAGUGAUUUAUUGAUUCAAAUGGCGCGUGCCGGCAGUCAAUCAUGUAACCUCUCACUCCCACUCUGAGCCAUUCAGUGUUGUUUAUGUAUGCAGCUCGUGAGCUAAGCUGUAGCAUUAGCAAUGUCUUUCAAAAAGGAGACAACUCCCAAACACGGAAAUUCUGGAUAUUUUUUAAAAUUCUGACAAUGCGUCUGUAUGAAAGUUUGGAAUCAGAUUCUGACAGUGAGGAGCUGCUACCCAGCCAUUGAGAACCCUGAAUCUGAAGACCCCUUGUCCACUGACAACGUCCUAGUUCAAUUUGAAGAUGCUGGUGGUGAUGGAGGCAGACCGAAAAAGGAUGAAGUACAGGAGUUCUAUUGUAGCUGGAAGGCUGCCAGCCAUUUCACCCCUCCUGGCCCUGCUGUUUGCUUUGAUGAGUCCCAGUCUGAAGUGCAACACCCCUUGCCAUUUCCAUCUGAGGCAGAGUGCUUCAAGUUGUUUCUGACAGAGGAUCUGGUGGGAGACAUAGUAGAGACCAAUCACUAUGCCUUGGAGCUACUGGAGAAGAGAGCCAGGAGUGGGGGGCGGACAACCACAAUUAGUGAAAUGUAUACCUUCCUGGUGACAGUCCUCAUGGGGAUAGUAAAGUAGUCUCUGAACUCCAUCAGAGAAUAAUGGAGCACAGAUCCUAUGUUUGCAACUCCCUUCUUUGCCACCCUCUUUUCCCAAGUCCGCUUCCUAGUUCUGCUGCUAUGACUGCAUUACAUCAACAAUGCUACAGCCAUCCUAAAUGACCCGUUAUACAAAAUAAGAAAUGUCAACAGUUGGCAGUAAAGUGGCAUGACAAACGAGACGUCCAUGUCGUCUCCACUGUCCAUACAGCAACCACGUCGGCCACAGGGAAGGUGGACCACCUCAGGGGAGAGAGACAAGCCAGACUGCGUGCUUGACUAUAACCUCAAAAUGUGGGCAGUGGAUAAGGCGGACAGGAUAAACAGCUUUGUGGAAGGCACUCAGAAAAUGACCAAGUGGUACAAGAAGAUAUUUUUCCAGGAUAGCUUCAAAUUACAAUAAGCCAAUACUUCUGACGCAAUUAGCAUUGUUUUACAGAGCUAAUAGAAGAAUGUAGCUAGCUACAUAAGCACGAUUGAAUAUAACACCAUAAAGGUUAUGAAAUGAGUAACGUUACCUCGCGUGUCCGCGGCUAUAAAGAAUAUACACACAUAUAUUAUGCUCCAUACACAGUGAGCUAAGGUAUAAAACGAUAUAUAGAAACUAUUAUAACGUAAUAAGGCACUUACUUUGAUAGAAGCACAUUCUGGUUUUGAGCCGGGUUGUCUGUAGGGAUGCCUCCAGCACUGAGACGCUGUGUCUUAGACAGCUGCGCCACUUGGGAGUCAUAAGGCCAGGGUAGCUUCAAAAUACAACACAUGCUAAUACUUCUCUGAUGCAAUUAGCAUUGUUUUCCAGAGCUAAUAGAAGAAUGUAGCUAGCUACCUAAGCAUUGAGUAUAACACCAUAAAGGUUAUAAAAUGAGUAACGUUACCUUGUUUGUCCGCGGUUAUAAGGAAUAUACACAAAAAUAUGAUGCUACAGUAGAAACGACGUAACACGACAUGCAGAAACUAUUAUAACAUAAUAAGGCACUUACUUCGAUAGAAACGCACACAUUUCCAAAGUUAUUAUUGGUAACGAAAUCAACUAUGACUGCAAUGCAGAAUUGAGCAAAUGUCUGCAGAAUUGAACUACACAAACAAUUGGGAAGUGUUUGGGGAAUUUUGUCCAGGUCAGAAAUAUCCAAAAAUGUAUUGGUCCAAAAAAGUAGAAAUGACAACUGUUAUGUGAAUGAAUGGGGCGGAAAACACCUCAAUUCAAACUGCUCUUAGAAAAUACAAAACUUGUUUGAAAAUAAUUUGAAAUUGACAAAUUGAAAACAGCCUAUAAAUAAAAAAUGUCUGCGUGCCUUGGUUUGAGGGCAGCGCCGGAUUAAAUGUACUCUUGCGUAACAAUCACAUUCUGGAAUGGAGAGAACGUGCAUAAAAAAACUCACACUGGGGCGACCGUUAGAGAUAUUCACGCAUGAAAGCGUUAAGAUAACCUUCAGAACAACUGGGGGCCCACGGCUGGUUAGGAGACACCGCAAUUGUGAUGAACUGAGAGAAUAUUAGAGUAGCACUGUAAUUCAUGAAUCAUAUACUGUCUGCCACUGUUCUUAUCUCUUUCCCUUUCUGUCUUCUCCACUUCUCUCCCCACCUCGUCUUUCUUCCUCGUUUUAUAAUGCACACCAUAUGAGCAUUGAAGUACAGAUUCAACUUGUAUUUAUAAUAUUACAAUUGUCAUAAUUACAAUGCAUGUAUGUAUUUAUAACACCUAGAUAAUGAACUUCUUUCAAUAAAGCGUUUCACAUUCUC
Oncorhynchus masou masou (cherry salmon) is the source of this 3892-nucleotide long non-coding RNA. RefSeq lists it as uncharacterized. NCBI's taxonomy places the organism in Eukaryota, Metazoa, Chordata, Actinopteri, Salmoniformes, Salmonidae. The record is from RefSeq and is a predicted model, not a curated record. The transcript has 5 exons.